RNAcentral lists this ribosomal RNA (585 nucleotides) under Triticum aestivum (bread wheat). RNAcentral's name for it is "partial small subunit ribosomal RNA". The record is from RNAcentral. Lineage: Eukaryota; Viridiplantae; Streptophyta; Magnoliopsida; Poales; Poaceae.
AUGCCAAUUAGGGGCAGAUCCCAAUGGCCCAAGGUAAAUCCUGGAUUUGAUAUGAUCCCUCCAAAACUUACCAAGAGUGCUGGACGUCCAAGAACUAGGAGGAUAAAGAAUUACACCGAAGGUGGAACCGGUAGAAGACACAAAUGCAAAAGAUGUGGAGCAAUAGGCCAUCUUUGAAAGACAUGCAAGGAGCCUGAGAAGGAAAGUGACGUGGAUCGAGAUGCUACUCCUCCUCCGCAGUAUUUAUUUCAUAAGUCUCAUCUCUUUCACUUGUUUAUUAUUUUCAUGAUGUUACUCCUCUUCCAUGGUAUUUCUUUCAUGAUACUACUUCUUCUCACAUUGUUGCCAAAUGUCCUGCAUAUUAAUUACAAACAAUAUUGUUUUGAACGUAGGAAAAUGUCAAAGGUUGAAGCAAGCAUUGCGGCUACUUCUCCUAAGACACCAACUAAGCAAGGUACUCAACUUGAUCCUCCUACAAGUCCAGUGACAAGGCAGAGGGCAGCAACUAUUACAAUUUCUUGUACACCUCCUAGUGGAUCUACAAGGAGCAAAACUGCUGCUCCUAGCCCUCUAUGGCGAGUUUAG